RNAcentral lists this ribosomal RNA (380 nucleotides) under uncultured eukaryote. RNAcentral's name for it is "partial 18S ribosomal RNA". It matches the Rfam family "Eukaryotic small subunit ribosomal RNA", at positions 592 to 976 of the family's 1831-position model. The record is from RNAcentral.
CAAUAGCGUAUAUUAAAGUUGUUGCAGUUAAAAAGCUCGUAGUUGGAUUUCUGCUGAGGACGAUCGGUCCGCCCACUGGGUGAGUAUCUGGCUCGGCCUUGGCAUCUUCUUGGAGAACGUUGCUGCACUUGACUGUGUGGCGCGGUAUCCAGGACUUUUACUUUGAGGAAAUUAGAGUGUUUCAAGCAGGCGCACGCCUUGAAUACAUUAGCAUGGAAUAAUGAGAUAGGACCUUGGUUCUAUUUUGUUGGUUUCUAGAGCUGAGGUAAUGAUUAAUAGGGAUAGUUGGGGGCAUUCGUAUUUAACUGUCAGAGGUGAAAUUCUUGGAUUUGUUAAAGACGGGCUACUGCGAAAGCAUUUGCCAAGGAUGUUUUCAUUGA